GGGUGUAUUAUUAUAGAUCCACCCCUUAUUGAGCCACCAUCCUUCUCUUUUUGUUGGGAUCAUGUAGUACCCAUUUAGCAUUCUACCUCAAAUAUUUGCCUUGACAGCCUAAGUUCCUCUCUCCUCCACCUCUUCUCAUGCAUCCCUACAAACAGCUUCUUCCUGUAUGAUCUUUCUUGCAUCCAAUCCUACUUGUACUAAAAAGAC
This 207-nucleotide long non-coding RNA is filed under the name Phoenix dactylifera (date palm). Its description in RNAcentral is "long non-coding RNA (PDAC_LNC017161)". The record is from RNAcentral. Lineage: Eukaryota; Viridiplantae; Streptophyta; Magnoliopsida; Arecales; Arecaceae.